This is a non-coding RNA of Chrysemys picta bellii (western painted turtle), 815 nucleotides long. Lineage: Eukaryota; Metazoa; Chordata; Testudines; Emydidae. The record is from RefSeq and is a predicted model, not a curated record.
GUUGUUCUCUGGGAAAGAGGGGAACAGGGAGCAGUUAUGCUGUGAGAAGCUUUAAGCCAGCUCUUCACCGGAGGGGGGAUGAAGAGGCUUGAAGGAAUUCCCAAGUGUGCCUUCCUGGGUCUGAAGGUGUAACCAGCUCAGAGCACAGUGUUUUCCCCAGGAAUUGAAAUUAGGGGGGUGUUUGAAUAUAUGGGUGGUGGUGGUGAGGGCUGACGAGGGUUGAGACUGUGAGGGGGAAGAAGGGCUGUAUGGCACUAUAGUAAAAACUGAAAAAUGUUUCAUGAUCAUUUUAUUAGAUUUAACUCAUGUUUUAAAAUCAUCACAGAAAUUAAAAUUGGUUACUCAAGCCUACUAUGAAGGACGACAUCUACAUCCUUCUUGGUUUCUUGUUGUAAUUUUGCACAUCUCUUUGGUGUCUUCUUGUGUGUCUGUUACUUCCAGUCCUUCAUGAUAUGCUCAUGAUCAGGCAGAAGACGACUUCUUUCAGAAUGCAAAAUUCUAUUCAGUCCCAGUGUAUCUUCUAUUUGUUUCCAAGACAUUCAGUUCUUUUGGACUCUUGCUGAAAAAAGAAUACAAGAAAGCCAUUAAAUUUAUGGCUUUUAACUGUCUUUUGAAGAUUCUGCAGCUUGUACUAGCACUAGCUGAAGUAGAUGGCCUUUGUAGUGUGUAUAGAAGAAAUUAGGGUUAGACUUUUCUCUGAACAAAGCUUGUACUCCACUAUGUCUUCCAAAGAAGUUUAUAGCUCCAUCAAAUGCACAAACAGCCAUCUGUUUGGGGUUCACUUACAAGCAUUUAACUCUUCUAAGAUAGAAUCA